Molecule: ribosomal RNA, 2771 nt
Filed under: Shigella dysenteriae
Lineage: Bacteria; Pseudomonadati; Pseudomonadota; Gammaproteobacteria; Enterobacterales; Enterobacteriaceae
Description: bacterial LSU rRNA
Rfam family: Bacterial large subunit ribosomal RNA
Source: RNAcentral
AGCGUACACGGUGGAUGCCCUGGCAGUCAGAGGCGAUGAAGGACGUGCUAAUCUGCGAAAAGCGUCGGUAAGGUGAUAUGAACCGUUAUAGCCGGCGAUGUCCGAAUGGGGAAACCCAGUGCAAUUCGUUGCACUAUCGUUAACUGAAUACAUAGGUUAACGAGGCGAACCGGGGGAACUGAAACAUCUAAGUACCCCGAGGAAAAGAAAUCAACCGAGAUUCCCCCAGUAGCGGCGAGCGAACGGGGAGCAGCCCAGAGUCUGAAUCAGCUUGUGUGUUAGUGGAACGGUCUGGAAAGUCCGACGGUACAGGGUGAUAGUCCCGUACACCAAAAUGCACAGGCUGUGAACUCGAAGAGUAGGGCGGGACACGUGGUAUCCUGUCUGAAUAUGGGGGGACCAUCCUCCAAGGCUAAAUACUCCUGACUGACCGAUAGUGAACCAGUACCGUGAGGGAAAGGCGAAAAGAACCCCGGCGAGGGGAGUGAAAAAGAACCUGAAACCGUGUACGUACAAGCAGUGGGAGCACCUUCGGGUGUGACUGCGUACCUUUUGUAUAAUGGGUCAGCGACUUAUAUUCUGUAGCAAGGUUAACCGUAUAGGGGAGCCGCAGGGAAACCGAGUCUUAACUGGGCGUUAAGUUGCAGGGUAUAGACCCGAAACCCGGUGAUCUAGCCAUGGGCAGGUUGAAGGUUGGGUAACACUAACUGGAGGACCGAACCGACUAAUGUUGAAAAAUUAGCGGAUGACUUGUGGCUGGGGGUGAAAGGCCAAUCAAACCGGGAGAUAGCUGGUUCUCCCCGAAAGCUAUUUAGGUAGCGCCUCGUGAACUCAUCUUCGGGGGUAGAGCACUGUUUCGGCUAGGGGGUCAUCCCGACUUACCAACCCGAUGCAAACUACGAAUACCGAAGAAUGUUAUCACGGGAGACACACGGCGGGUGCUAACGUCCGUCGUGAAGAGGGAAACAACCCAGACCGCCAGCUAAGGUCCCAAAGUCAUGGUUAAGUGGGAAACGAUGUGGGAAGGCACAGACAGCCAGGAUGUUGGCUUAGAAGCAGCCAUCAUUUAAAGAAAGCGUAAUAGCUCACUGGUCGAGUCGGCCUGCGCGGAAGAUGUAACGGGGCUAAACCAUGCACCGAAGCUGCGGCAGCGACACUAUGUGUUGUUGGGUAGGGGAGCGUUCUGUAAGCCUGCGAAGGUGACCUGUGAGGGUUGCUGGAGGUAUCAGAAGUGCGAAUGCUGACAUAAGUAACGAUAAAGCGGGUGAAAAGCCCGCUCGCCGGAAGACCAAGGGUUCCUGUCCAACGUUAAUCGGGGCAGGGUGAGUCGACCCCUAAGGCGAGGCCGAAAGGCGUAGUCGAUGGGAAACAGGUUAAUAUUCCUGUACUUGGUGUUACUGCGAAGGGGGGACGGAGAAGGCUAUGUUAGCCGGGCGACGGUUGUCCCGGUUUAAGCAUGUAGGCUGGUUAUCCAGGCAAAUCCGGAUAAUCAAGGCUGAGGUGUGAUGACGAGGCACUACGGUGCUGAAGUAACAAAUGCCCUGCUUCCAGGAAAAGCCUCUAAGCAUCAGGUAACAUCAAAUCGUACCCCAAACCGACACAGGUGGUCAGGUAGAGAAUACCAAGGCGCUUGAGAGAACUCGGGUGAAGGAACUAGGCAAAAUGGUGCCGUAACUUCGGGAGAAGGCACGCUGGUGUGUAGGUGAAGUCCCUGCGGAUGGAGCUGAGACCAGUCGAAGAUACCAGCUGGCUGCAACUGUUUAUUAAAAACACAGCACUGUGCAAACACGAAAGUGGACGUAUACGGUGUGACGCCUGCCCGGUGCCGGAAGGUUAAUUGAUGGGGUUAUCCGUAAGGAGAAGCUCUUGAUCGAAGCCCCGGUAAACGGCGGCCGUAACUAUAACGGUCCUAAGGUAGCGAAAUUCCUUGUCGGGUAAGUUCCGACCUGCACGAAUGGCGUAAUGAUGGCCAGGCUGUCUCCACCCGAGACUCAGUGAAAUUGAACUCGCUGUGAAGAUGCAGUGUACCCGCGGCAAGACGGAAAGACCCCGUGAACCUUUACUAUAGCUUGACACUGAACAUUGAGCCUUGAUGUGUAGGAUAGGUGGGAGGCUUUGAAGCGUGGACGCCAGUCUGCGUGGAGCCAACCUUGAAAUACCACCCUUUAAUGUUUGAUGUUCUAACGUUGGCCCCUGACCGGGGUUGCGGACAGUGUCUGGUGGGUAGUUUGACUGGGGCGGUCUCCUCCCAAAGCGUAACGGAGGAGCACGAAGGUUAGCUAAUCCUGGUCGGACAUCAGGAGGUUAGUGCAAUGGCAUAAGCUAGCUUGACUGCGAGCGUGACGGCGCGAGCAGGUGCGAAAGCAGGUCAUAGUGAUCCGGUGGUUCUGAAUGGAAGGGCCAUCGCUCAACGGAUAAAAGGUACUCCGGGGAUAACAGGCUGAUACCGCCCAAGAGUUCAUAUCGACGGCGGUGUUUGGCACCUCGAUGUCGGCUCAUCACAUCCUGGGGCUGAAGUAGGUCCCAAGGGUAUGGCUGUUCGCCAUUUAAAGUGGUACGCGAGCUGGGUUUAGAACGUCGUGAGACAGUUCGGUCCCUAUCUGCCGUGGGCGCUGGAGAAUUGAGGGGGGCUGCUCCUAGUACGAGAGGACCGGAGUGGACGCAUCACUGGUGUUCGGGUUGUCAUGCCAAUGGCACUGCCCGGUAGCUAAAUGCGGAAGAGAUAAGUGCUGAAAGCAUCUAAGCACGAAACUUGCCCCGAGAUGAGUUCU